Molecule: unclassified non-coding RNA, 300 nt
Filed under: Glomeraceae sp.
Lineage: Eukaryota; Fungi; Glomeromycota; Glomeromycetes; Glomerales; Glomeraceae
Description: partial contains 5.8S ribosomal RNA, internal transcribed spacer 2, and large subunit ribosomal RNA
Source: RNAcentral
GUGAAUCAUCAAAUCUUUGAACGCAAAUUGCACUCUCUUCUGAUAUUAGGCCUGUUUGAGGGUCAGUGUUAAUAAAAAUCGGUGUGUUUCUUCUUUUUGACUCUCCGUAGUUUGGGUCAUCUUAAUAUCCUUAAGGUUUUAAGAGGCUUAAAAUUGACUUUUUUUGCGCAUUGUAUUUGUAUAUAAAUUCUUUUUUUUAUUCGUCUAUUCUUAAUGCCAAGAUCUUAUUAGAUUCGAUCACAUCGUGUUGUUUCGUGUCCAUAAAAUUUUCAUGAUUUGACCUCAAAUCAGGUAGGAUUA